AGUCGUUCCCGCGCAUGCUCAGCAGACUCGCUCAGACAUCACUCCAGCUGGAUGGUGAGGAGACGUACGGUGUUGGCUAUUCCGGAUAUCAAGUUAACAAGUGUUCACUUCAUCUAAAUACUGAUAUGGUGCUCUCACUUUUCCCUGCCGGCAGUGUGCCGGAAGUCCCGAUAAGAUGCGGCAGUUUUAUCGCCCUCGCCACGUAAAUGAAGACAGAUGUGAGAGGAUCAAGACUAAGCAUGAUUAGAUGCACUUGUUUGGAAUGAAGAGUUGAAGAUUUUACUAACGAGUGCGCCAGACAAAAGGAACAAAUGAAAGAAAAAAUGUUUGUGAAAAUGUGAGUUCAACAAUUGGUGAAGAGAAAGAAUGUGUGUGUUCGUGCGUGCGUUUGAAGAACCUUUUUGUGGCGAGCUGGAGAAGGAAUUGAAGCGCGACGUCCAUUUGUGAUGAAGCUAAAAGAAGGAGUGAUGGAUGAGCCAAAGUGUUGAGAACUGAUAUCUUCAUCAUGUCCUUCUUCUUCUCCUUCGUCUUUUAUUUAUUUAUUUUUCGUCUCCUUAUAUGUUUCUUUUCUUGUUCUUUUCUUCUUACUGUUAAUGUUUUUGUUAUUUUUCGUCUACAUAUACGUUUUUCUUGUUCCUUUUUCGUUAAUGCUACUGUUCUUGUUAUAUUUGUUGUUGUUGAAGCUAUUGCCCGUCCGUGGCUUUAUUGAUAUAUUGAUAUAUUGAUGUUUAGCUUAUCAUUCUUGUUGUUUUUACUAUUAUUGUUGUUGUUAUUAAUGAUGAUGGUGGUUAUGAUGACGAUGAUGAUGAUGGUGAUGAUGGUGAUGGUGAUGAUGGUGAUGGUGAUGAUAGUGAUGGUGAUGGUGAUGGCGACAACAUUGCACCAAUAUAAUAAUAACAGUUUUUACCCCUUCAUCGUGGUACUAAUACCCUUGAUAUUGCUUCCAGAGAGAGAGAGAGAGAGAGAGAGAGAGAGAGAGAGAGAGAGAGAGAGAGAGAGAGAGAGAGAGAGAGAGAGAAAACUACUCAUAUAUUUACUUCUUUCUUAUGGUUCUUUCAUUUU
This is a long non-coding RNA of Scylla paramamosain (green mud crab), 1062 nucleotides long. RefSeq lists it as uncharacterized. Lineage: Eukaryota; Metazoa; Arthropoda; Malacostraca; Decapoda; Portunidae. The record is from RefSeq and is a predicted model, not a curated record. The transcript is spliced from 4 exons.